UCCCAGUUGGCUCAGCGGUAAAGAACCUGCUUGUCAAACAGGAGGCACAGGUUUGAUCCCUGGGUAGGGAA
This 71-nucleotide transfer RNA is filed under the name Bos taurus (domestic cattle). It matches the Rfam family "tRNA". Rfam says of the family: Transfer RNA (tRNA) molecules are approximately 80 nucleotides in length. RNAcentral also lists the same sequence under 4 other names. The record is from Rfam by way of RNAcentral. Lineage: Eukaryota; Metazoa; Chordata; Mammalia; Artiodactyla; Bovidae.